GGGCCAGUAGUUCAGCGGCUAGAACAGGCGUCUUAUACACUCCUUGUCGGAGGUUCGAGUCCUCCCUGGCCCA
This 73-nucleotide transfer RNA is filed under the name Candidatus Levyibacteriota bacterium. RNAcentral's name for it is "tRNA-Ile". It matches the Rfam family "tRNA". Rfam says of the family: Transfer RNA (tRNA) molecules are approximately 80 nucleotides in length. Their secondary structure includes four short double-helical elements and three loops (D, anti-codon, and T loops). Further hydrogen bonds mediate the characteristic L-shaped molecular structure. tRNAs have two regions of fundamental functional importance: the anti-codon, which is responsible for specific mRNA codon recognition, and the 3' end, to which the tRNAs corresponding amino acid is attached (by aminoacyl-tRNA synthetases). tRNAs cope with the degeneracy of the genetic code in two manners: having more than one tRNA (with a specific anti-codon) for a particular amino acid; and 'wobble' base-pairing, i.e. permitting non-standard base-pairing at the 3rd anti-codon position. Lineage: Bacteria; Candidatus Levyibacteriota. The record is from RNAcentral.